GCACCGAUAGCUCAGUGGCAGAGCGGUGGAGCCUUGACCCAUACGGCCCGGGUUCGAGCUCCGGCCGAUGCA
Phthorimaea operculella (potato tuberworm) is the source of this 72-nucleotide non-coding RNA. The record is from the annotation of a GenBank genome assembly. NCBI's taxonomy places the organism in Eukaryota, Metazoa, Arthropoda, Insecta, Lepidoptera, Gelechiidae.